RNAcentral lists this ribosomal RNA (253 nucleotides) under uncultured bacterium. RNAcentral describes it as "partial 16S ribosomal RNA". It matches the Rfam family "Bacterial small subunit ribosomal RNA", at positions 524 to 776 of the family's 1533-position model. The record is from RNAcentral.
UACGUAGGGUGCAAGCGUUGUCCGGAAUUAUUGGGCGUAAAGAGCUCGUAGGCGGUUUGUUGCGUCGGCUGUGAAAUCCCGAGGCUCAACCUCGGGUCUGCAGUCGAUACGAGCAAACUAGAGUGUUGCAGGGGAGACUGGGAUUCCUGGUGUAGCGGUGAAAUGCGCAGAUAUCGGGAGGAACACCAGUGGCGAAGGCGGCACUCUGGGCCAGUAUUGACGCUGAGGAGCGAAAGCGUGGGGAGCGAACAGG